CCCUUAGAUGUUCUGGGCCGCACGCGCGCUACACUGUUCGACGCAGCGAGUCUUAACCUUGACCGAAAGGUUUGGGUAAUCUUCAGCAAAGUCGAACGUGAUGGGGAUCGAUCAUUGCAAUUAUUGAUCGUGAACGAGGAAUUCCUAGUAAGUGCAAGUCAUCAGCUUGCGCUGAUUACGUCCCUGCCCUUUGUACACACCACCCGUCGCUACUACCGAUUGAAUGGUUUAGUGAGAUCUCUGGAUUGACGCUGGCUAGGGGGCGACCCUUGGCCAGACUGCUCGAGAAACUGCUCAAACUUGAUCAUUUAGAGGAAGUAAAAGUCGUAACA
Molecule: ribosomal RNA, 332 nt
Filed under: uncultured eukaryote
Lineage: Eukaryota
Description: partial 18S ribosomal RNA
Rfam family: Eukaryotic small subunit ribosomal RNA
Source: RNAcentral